GAUGAACGCUGGCGGCGUGCCUAAUACAUGCAAGUCGAGCGAACAGAUAAGGAGCUUGCUCCUUUGACGUUAGCGGCGGACGGGUGAGUAACACGUGGGUAACCUACCUAUAAGACUGGGAUAACUUCGGGAAACCGGAGCUAAUACCGGAUAACAUUUGGAACCGCAUGGUUCUAAAGUGAAAGAUGGUUUUGCUAUCACUUAUAGAUGGACCCGCGCCGUAUUAGCUAGUUGGUAAGGUAACGGCUUACCAAGGCGACGAUACGUAGCCGACCUGAGAGGGUGAUCGGCCACACUGGAACUGAGACACGGUCCAGACUCCUACGGUAGGCAGCAGUAGGGAAUCUUCCGCAAUGGGCGAAAGCCUGACGGAGCAACGCCGCGUGAGUGAUGAAGGGUUUCGGCUCGUAAAACUCUGUUAUUAGGGAAGAACAAAUGUGUAAGUAACUGUGCACGUCUUGACGGUACCUAAUCAGAAAGCCACGGCUAACUACGUG
RNAcentral lists this ribosomal RNA (497 nucleotides) under uncultured bacterium. RNAcentral's name for it is "partial 16S ribosomal RNA". It matches the Rfam family "Bacterial small subunit ribosomal RNA", at positions 28 to 507 of the family's 1533-position model. The record is from RNAcentral.